RNAcentral lists this ribosomal RNA (511 nucleotides) under uncultured bacterium. Its description in RNAcentral is "partial 16S ribosomal RNA". It matches the Rfam family "Bacterial small subunit ribosomal RNA", at positions 28 to 506 of the family's 1533-position model. The record is from RNAcentral.
GAUGAACGCUGGCGGCGUGCCUAAUACAUGCAAGUCGAACAAAACUUCUUUAUCACCGAGUGCUUGCACUCACCGAUAAAGAGUUGAGUGGCGAACGGGUGAGUAACACGUGGGCAACCUGCCCAAAAGAGGGGGAUAACACUUGGAAACAGGUGCUAAUACCGCAUAACCAUAGUUACCGCAUGGUAACUAUGUAAAAGGUGGCUAUACUACCGCUUUUGGAUGGGCCCGCGGCGCAUUAGCUAGUUGGUAGGGUAAAGGCUUACCAAGGCAAUGAUGCGUAGCCGAAUUGAGAGGUUGAUCGGCCACAUUGGGACUGAGACACGGCCCAAACUCCUACGGGAGGCAGCAGUAGGGAAUCUUCCACAAUGGGCGAAAGCCUGAUGGAGCAACGCCGCGUGGGUGAAGAAGGUCUUCGGAUCGUAAAACCCUGUUGUUAGAGAAGAAAGUGCGUGAGAGUAACUGUUCACGUUUCGACGGUAUCUAACCGGAAAGCCACGGCUAACUACGU